GCGUGGUGCUCUUAUUCACUGUGAAUUCUUCAGCUACAGGAGACACAGCAGGCCUAUUGUCCAAGAAGUGAACGAAAGGUGCUCAUCGACACUACUGGGACAUUAUUUUAUGCUGAAAUUUGGCUGAGGAUUCCUGUGAACACAGAGAACUUCACCAAGUACCCAUCAUUCUCCCGUGCUGAAGGUGCAAGUUAAACCCACACUGUCAGCCACCAGCGUUCAGAACUCCUUAGCUUGGCAGAUACUUCUGAAAGUCCAAAUGAGAAUUUUUUAACAUCAGUAAGAACCGGUCUGUGUGGUAGAGUCAAAAUAAGAGCUAAACCUAGACUGGGAAGGGAGCCCUAGAUUGGCUGGCGAUCUUGGACAAGUCAUUUAAGCAUUGGGAAACUUAUUCUCUUUAUCAAUAAAAACA
This 412-nucleotide long non-coding RNA is filed under the name Fukomys damarensis (Damara mole-rat). RNAcentral describes it as "lncRNA (ENSFDAG00000027469.1)". The record is from RNAcentral. Lineage: Eukaryota; Metazoa; Chordata; Mammalia; Rodentia; Bathyergidae.